This 450-nucleotide ribosomal RNA is filed under the name uncultured bacterium. Its description in RNAcentral is "bacterial SSU rRNA". It matches the Rfam family "Bacterial small subunit ribosomal RNA", at positions 354 to 796 of the family's 1533-position model. The record is from RNAcentral.
GUGGGGAAUAUUGGACAAUGGGCGAAAGCCUGAUCCAGCCAUGCCGCGUGUGUGAAGAAGGUCUUCGGAUUGUAAAGCACUUUAAGUUGGGAGGAAGGGCAGUAAGUUAAUACCUUGCUGUUUUGACGUUACCGACAGAAUAAGCACCGGCUAACUUCGUGCCAGCAGCCGCGGUAAUACGAAGGGUGCAAGCGUUAAUCGGAAUUACUGGGCGUAAAGCGCGCGUAGGUGGUUUUGUAAGUUGGAGGUGAAAUCCCCGGGCUCAACCUGGGAACUGCCUCCAAAACUGCAUGACUAGAGUACGGUAGAGGGUAGUGGAAUUUCCUGUGUAGCGGUGAAAUGCGUAGAUAUAGGAAGGAACACCAGUGGCGAAGGCGACUACCUGGACUGAUACUGACACUGAGGUACGAAAGCGUGGGGAGCAAACAGGAUUAGAUACCCGAGUAGUCC